GAGUCGUCUAGUGGUAGGACGCCAGACUCUGGAUCUGGUAGCGCCGGUUCGAAUCCUGCCUC
RNAcentral lists this transfer RNA (62 nucleotides) under marine eukaryotic metagenome. It matches the Rfam family "tRNA", at positions 5 to 66 of the family's 71-position model. From Rfam's summary of the family: Transfer RNA (tRNA) molecules are approximately 80 nucleotides in length. The record is from RNAcentral.